GCGGUUUUAGCUCAGUUGGGAGAGCGUCAGACUGAAGUCAUACUUUAGUCUCGGUUUAUCUGAAGGUCCAGUGUUCGAUCCACUGAAACCGCA
This 93-nucleotide transfer RNA is filed under the name Nadsonia fulvescens var. elongata DSM 6958. It matches the Rfam family "tRNA". From Rfam's summary of the family: Transfer RNA (tRNA) molecules are approximately 80 nucleotides in length. Their secondary structure includes four short double-helical elements and three loops (D, anti-codon, and T loops). The record is from Rfam by way of RNAcentral. Lineage: Eukaryota; Fungi; Ascomycota; Dipodascomycetes; Dipodascales.